AACCGGAUUAGAUACCCUGGUAGUCCACGCCGUAAACGAUGAGUGCUAAGUGUUAGAGGGUUUCCGCCCUUUAGUGCUGCAGCAAACGCAUUAAGCACUCCGCCUGGGGAGUACGGUCGCAAGACUGAAACUCAAAGGAAUUGACGGGGGCCCGCACAAGCGGUGGAGCAUGUGGUUUAAUUCGAAGCAACGCGAAGAACCUUACCAGGUCUUGACAUCCUUCGCUACUUCUAGAGAUAGAAGGUUCCCCUUCGGGGGACGAAGUGACAGGUGGUGCAUGGUUGUCGUCAGCUCGUGUCGUGAGAUGUUGGGUUAAGUCCCGCAACGAGCGCAACCCUUGAUCUUAGUUGCCAGCAUUCAGUUGGGCACUCUAAGGUGACUGCCGGUGACAAACCGGAGGAAGGUGGGGAUGACGUCAAAUCAUCAUGCCCCUUAUGACCUGGGCUACACACGUGCUACAAUGGAUGGUACAAAGGGCUGCAAGACCGCGAGGUCAAGCCAAUCCCAUAAAACCAUUCUCAGUUCGGAUUGCAGGCUGCAACUCGCCUGCAUGAAGCCGGAAUCGCUAGAAUCGCGAUCAGC
RNAcentral lists this ribosomal RNA (582 nucleotides) under uncultured Bacillus sp. RNAcentral's name for it is "bacterial SSU rRNA". It matches the Rfam family "Bacterial small subunit ribosomal RNA", at positions 771 to 1353 of the family's 1533-position model. The record is from RNAcentral. Lineage: Bacteria; Bacillati; Bacillota; Bacilli; Caryophanales; Bacillaceae.